RNAcentral lists this ribosomal RNA (465 nucleotides) under uncultured bacterium. Its description in RNAcentral is "partial 16S ribosomal RNA". It matches the Rfam family "Bacterial small subunit ribosomal RNA", at positions 338 to 795 of the family's 1533-position model. The record is from RNAcentral.
CCUACGGGUGGCAGCAGUGGGGAAUAUUGCGCAAUGGGCGAAAGCCUGACGCAGCGACGCCGCGUGAGGGAUGAAGGUCUUCGGAUCGUAAACCUCUGUCAGCAGGGAAGAACGGUCACUGUGCUAAUCAGCAGUGAAUUGACGGUACCUGCAAAGGAAGCACCGGCUAACUCCGUGCCAGCAGCCGCGGUAAUACGGAGGGUGCGAGCGUUAGUCGGAAUUACUGGGCGUAAAGCGCUCGUAGGCGGGAUGUCAAGUCAAGGGUGAAAUCCCCGGGCUCAACGUGGAAACUGCAUUUGAAACUGGCAGACUGGAGUGUGUGAGAGGAUAGUGGAAUGCCAGGUGUAGGAGUGAAAUCCGUAGAUAUCUGGAGGAACAUCAGUGGCGAAGGCGACUAUCUGGCACAUAACUGACGCUGAGGAGCGAAAGCGUGGGUAGCAAACAGGAUUAGAUACCCGUGUAGUC